AAUGAACGCUGGCGGCAUGCCUAACACAUGCAAGUCGAACGAGACCUUCGGGUCUAGUGGCGCACGGGUGCGUAACGCGUGGGAACCUGCCCUUAGGUUUGGAAUAACUCCCCGAAUGGGGUGCUAAUACCGGCUAUUGUCUUCGGUCCAAAGUUUUAUCGCCUUUGGAUGGUCCUGCGUUGGAUUAGCUUGUUGGUAGGGUAAAAGCCUACCAAGGCGACGAUCCAUAGCUGGUCUGAGAGGAUGAUCAGCCACACUGGGACUGAGACACGGCCCAGACUCCUACGGGAGGCAGCAGUGGGGAAUAUUGGACAAUGGGCGAAAGCCUGAUCCAGCAAUGCCGCGUGAGUGAUGAAGGCCUUAGGGUUGUAAAGCUCUUUUACCCGGGAUGAUAAUGACAGUACCGGGAGAAUAAGCUCCGGCUAACUCCGUG
RNAcentral lists this ribosomal RNA (433 nucleotides) under uncultured bacterium. Its description in RNAcentral is "partial 16S ribosomal RNA". It matches the Rfam family "Bacterial small subunit ribosomal RNA", at positions 29 to 507 of the family's 1533-position model. The record is from RNAcentral.